CACCGGCAGCUCUAGUGGUAGCAAUUUUUAUUGGGCCUAAAGCGUCCGUAGCCGGUUUAAUAAGUCUCUGGUGAAAUCCUGCAGCUUAACUGUGGGAAUUGCUGGAGAUACUAUUAGACUUGAGACCGGGAGAGGUUAGAGGUACUCCCAGGGUAGAGGUGAAAUUCUGUAAUCCUGGGAGGACCGCCUGUUGCGAAGGCGUCUAACUGGAACGGUUCUGACGGUGAGGGACGAAAGUUAGGGGCGCGAACCGG
This 254-nucleotide ribosomal RNA is filed under the name uncultured bacterium. RNAcentral describes it as "partial 16S ribosomal RNA". It matches the Rfam family "Archaeal small subunit ribosomal RNA", at positions 474 to 727 of the family's 1478-position model. The record is from RNAcentral.